RNAcentral lists this ribosomal RNA (279 nucleotides) under uncultured bacterium. RNAcentral describes it as "partial 16S ribosomal RNA". It matches the Rfam family "Bacterial small subunit ribosomal RNA", at positions 506 to 784 of the family's 1533-position model. The record is from RNAcentral.
UGCCAGCAGCCGCGGUAACACGUAAGGAGCGAGCGUUGUUCGGAAUUAUUGGGCGUAAAGGGCAUGUAGGCGGUUAUUUAAGUCUGGUGUGAAAGACUGAGGCUCAACUUCAGGAACGCACUGGAAACUGGGUGACUUGAAUUCAAGAGGGGAAGUUGGAAUUCCUGGUGUAGGGGUGAAAUCUGCUGAUAUCAGGAAGAACACCUGAGGCGAAGGCGAACUUCUGGCUUUGAAUUGACGCUGAUGUGCGAAAGCGUAGGGAGCGAACAGGAUUAGAUA